Molecule: long non-coding RNA, 625 nt
Organism: Lycium barbarum (goji berry)
Lineage: Eukaryota; Viridiplantae; Streptophyta; Magnoliopsida; Solanales; Solanaceae
Exons: 2
Source: RefSeq, a predicted model, not a curated record
UAUAUGCUUCCCCUUUCCCUUUCCCUUUUUUUUCUCUCGGAACCCUAGCACCGCCAUGGAGGCGGUGGACACGCUACUACGUCACCUUGCCAUUUGUGGCAAAUUUCAGACGUACCAUGCUUUCGCAGGUAGGCAGAGAGAUGGAUCAGACCCGUAGGUGUUCUAUCAGCGGAUUCUCAGGAGCACUCCACUUACUUCAGAGCUGCUGUCUAUUUGGUAUUGGGCCUUAUGAUCAUUAUUCUAUGUAGAGGCUCGUAGACGUGUGUGUAUAGUUAGAAAUUUUAAAGCUCCACCAGGCCAUAUUAUUGAAUAAUAUAUUGGUAGCUUUGUCGGCUGGUGAUGACGACCAUAAUUGUUGAUGAUGAUAUAGAGAUGCACCAUUAUGUUAUGGUAUGUGUCCUUACAGGUUAUGACAACCAUGAGCUACCUUUAGGGUCCACCCAGAAAUGAUUAUGAGAUGUAUGCUUAGAGGUACUCAGUAGGUUAGCUCCGGGUGCCCGUCAUGACCCUCUGGUUGGGUCGUGACAAUAUCUCCCAUGUGAAUUAAGGUUUUGCUUUUUGUUUCAAUCAAUGUACAAUUGUGCCUGGUUUUGUUGGUCUUAAUGUGUUGAACUUCAUUUGCCCA